Momordica charantia (bitter melon) is the source of this 553-nucleotide RNA transcript. It is a transcript of the gene named pentatricopeptide repeat-containing protein At5g66520 pseudogene, with no coding region annotated. NCBI's taxonomy places the organism in Eukaryota, Viridiplantae, Streptophyta, Magnoliopsida, Cucurbitales, Cucurbitaceae. The record is from RefSeq and is a predicted model, not a curated record.
CUUUUCAGAAGCUGGUUUUUCGUGCUCCUCCCAAAUAAAAGCGGUUCAGAAUCCCAACGACCCACCAAAGAUUUCCAAGAAAAAAGAAAAAGACGGAUUCAACAGCACAUUGGGGGGGCUGGCUCCCAACUGCAAAAUCUUCUGGUUUUAAUAGCUUUCACAUUUUGAAAGUUCCUUAAAAAGAGGAAUAAAGACAGCCAAUAUUGAACUCGAGAAGAUGAUGGACAUGGUGGUUGGAGCUGUGGACUUUUAAUGCCUCACAACAGACGCUCUCACAGUUUUGGCUUCCAACCAAGGUGGAGGUGUGGUCCAUUUCCCCUUUUUAAAUUUUUUAUAGCAGAUCCCCUUAUUUUGAUUCAAUUCAAAGUUACCCCAUUUGCACUGUUGAAGAAAUAUUCUAUAGUUAGAACAAGAAUUAGUUUCUUUUGGCCCCAAUAAUGGUAUAUAAGAAGCUCUGGAAGGAAACAAGAUUAUUUGGGAAGUUUGCCUGCAGGAAGCUGUGUGUGGACUGUGGAUCCAUUGAAACUUCAGGAAAAUGCGUGAUAAUGUUUCA